CAAUAUCGGAACGUGCCCUGGAGUGGGGGAUAACUAGUCGAAAGACUAGCUAAUACCGCAUACGAUCUACGGAUGAAAGUGGGGGAUCGCAAGACCUCAUGGCUCGUGGAGCGGCCGAUAUCUGAUUAGCUAGUUGGUGGGGUAAAGGCCUACCAAGGCAUCGAUCAGUAGCUGGUCUGAGAGGACGACCAGCCACACUGGGACUGAGACACGGCCCAG
This 219-nucleotide ribosomal RNA is filed under the name uncultured bacterium. RNAcentral's name for it is "partial 16S ribosomal RNA". It matches the Rfam family "Bacterial small subunit ribosomal RNA", at positions 113 to 334 of the family's 1533-position model. The record is from RNAcentral.